This 253-nucleotide ribosomal RNA is filed under the name uncultured bacterium. Its description in RNAcentral is "partial 16S ribosomal RNA". It matches the Rfam family "Bacterial small subunit ribosomal RNA", at positions 524 to 776 of the family's 1533-position model. The record is from RNAcentral.
UACGGAGGAUGCAAGCGUUAUCCGGAAUGAUUGGGCGUAAAGCGUCCGCAGGUGGCAAUGUAAGUCUGCUGUUAAAGAGUCUAGCUCAACUAGAUAAAAGCAGUGGAAACUACAUAGCUAGAGUACGUUCGGGGCAGAGGGAAUUCCUGGUGUAGCGGUGAAAUGCGUAGAGAUCAGGAAGAACACCGGUGGCGAAGGCGCUCUGCUAGGCCGUAACUGACACUGAGGGACGAAAGCUAGGGGAGCGAAUGGG